UAAUACGAAGGUGGCAAGCGUUGUUCGGAUUCACUGGGCGUACAGGGUGUGUAGGCGGUUUGGUAAGCCUUCUGUUAAAGCUUCGGGCCCAACCCGGAAAGCGCAGAGGGUACUGCCAGGCUAGAGGGCGGGAGAGGAGCGCGGAAUUCCCGGUGUAGCGGUGAAAUGCGUAGAGAUCGGGAGGAAGGCCGGUGGCGAAGGCGGCGCUCUGGAACGUACCUGACGCUGAGACACGAAAGCGUGGGGAGCAAACAGGAUUAGAUACCCUGGUAGUCCACGCCCUAAACUAUGGAUACUAAGUGUCGGCGGGUUACCGCCGGUGCCGCAGCUAACGCAUUAAGUAUCCCGCCUGGGAAGUACGGCCGCAAGGUUG
RNAcentral lists this ribosomal RNA (373 nucleotides) under uncultured bacterium. RNAcentral describes it as "bacterial SSU rRNA". It matches the Rfam family "Bacterial small subunit ribosomal RNA", at positions 521 to 896 of the family's 1533-position model. The record is from RNAcentral.